GAGACAGCCACCAGAGGCUGGAUUAACCCUAAGUGAAACAUAGCCGUUUCUCUGAAACUGCUAUGUUUUCAGCUGCAGGGUUAAAACUAGAGGGACCUGGCACCCAGACCACUUCAUUGAGCUGAUGUGAUCUGGGUGUCUCUAGUGGUCCUUUAAGUGUGUGUGCAUACCGCGGUCGCGGGGUCGCAGCCCUGCAACCCCUGCGACCAGGUGCC
Non-coding RNA from Pelobates cultripes (western spadefoot toad), 215 nucleotides. The record is from the annotation of a GenBank genome assembly. NCBI's taxonomy places the organism in Eukaryota, Metazoa, Chordata, Amphibia, Anura, Pelobatidae.